RNAcentral lists this long non-coding RNA (977 nucleotides) under Equus caballus (horse). RNAcentral's name for it is "lncRNA (ENSECAG00000048641.1)". Lineage: Eukaryota; Metazoa; Chordata; Mammalia; Perissodactyla; Equidae. The record is from RNAcentral.
AUUGCAAGAGCCAGGCACUUGAGGGAAGAAAAUAACAUAUUUUUCCAAAUUCCAAAAGCUUUUCUUUAAAUAUUCAGUACUACAGCUUGGAGGACUGAGUAUAAUUUUUUCCUAUAAAUUAAAAAGUUAGAAGAAUGUAGGAUACGACAAAUUCAAUUUCCUACCACACAGGAAGGCGAUCUCAAACUUUCUCAACGAGGACGUGGAGUUUGUGGGGAGAGGAGAGAGAGAGCAAGAUAAAGCAAAGGAGCCCGGGAGAAGCUUUCUGCAUUCCAGGUGUUAUUCUAGCCAUGGAGAUGAAGUUGGAAUAAAACAAACAAAAAAUCCUUGCUGUCAUGGAGCUUACAUACUAAUGGAGGGGAGCAGACAAUUAACCAAAUGAAUAAGUAAGGCCAAGCAAGCAGCAGACGUGGUCCUGCCUUCACGGAGAGCUUGGGAUCUAGGCAGCUGCAGGCAGAUGGUGCAUGGCAGGAGAGGUGAGUGAGGCAUGCCUGGACACACUCACACUCAAGAGGAUGUAUCUCACCCUUGAUUCGGCCUUGCAACCACAGACAGUUAUUGGCCACUAAUUCACUGCAAGACAACAAGGAAGGCCAACAUGGAAAACAGAGAAAGAUAUGGAAGCCUGGGUCCUGCCUUCAAGGUGCUUAUGAUACAUGAGAGAUGAGACAGAGAUGCAGGGGAAACAUCACAAUCAAAAUAUAGUAGAGGAGGAGGAUCCAAGAUAGCACUGUGAGUAGUCCUCUUUGUCUCUCUCCCAUCGAGUCUACAAUUAUUUGGACAUUCAUCGCUUAACUAAGGAUAUCCAUAUAGCAUCUCAGGACGUCUGAGAGACCCAUGCGGCUAUUCAUCGGAAGGCGGAUGGACUUCCCUCUGGGAGGAGGUGGAGAUAGGUGAAAACUCUCCGACCCCGACCGAACAGCCUAGUACCUGCAAGCAGCUUUCUACCAACGGACGCCCCCAGAACAUCAACACAC